RNAcentral lists this ribosomal RNA (605 nucleotides) under Salmonella enterica. RNAcentral's name for it is "partial 23S ribosomal RNA". It matches the Rfam family "Bacterial large subunit ribosomal RNA", at positions 711 to 1229 of the family's 2925-position model. The record is from RNAcentral. Lineage: Bacteria; Pseudomonadati; Pseudomonadota; Gammaproteobacteria; Enterobacterales; Enterobacteriaceae.
AGACCCGAAACCCGGUGAUCUAGCCAUGGGCAGGUUGAAGGUUGGGUAACACUAACUGGAGGACCGAACCGACUAAUGUUGAAAAAUUAGCGGAUGACCUGUGGCUGGGGGUGAAAGGCCAAUCAAACCGGGAGAUAGCUGGUUCUCCCCGAAAGCUAUUUAGGUAGCGCCUCGUGAAUUCAUCUCCGGGGGUAGAGCACUGUUUCGGCCAGGGGGCCAUCCCGGCUUACCAAUCCGAUGCAAACUGCGAAUACCGGAGAAUGUUAUCACGGGAGACACACGGCGGGUGCUAACGUCCGUCGUGAAGAGGGAAACAACCCAGACCGCCAGCUAAGGUCCCAAAGUCAUGGUUAAGUGGGAAACGAUGUGGGAAGGCCCAGACAGCCAGGAUGUUGGCUUAGAAGCAGCCAUCAUUUAAAGAAAGCGUAAUAGCUCACUGGUCGAGUCGGCCUGCGCGGAAGAUGUAACGGGGCUAAACCAUGCACCGAAGCUGCGGCAGCGAACGUAUCACCCAAGACAACUUUACACAGUUGACGCCUGACGGAGCGAAGCGACGUCAAAGCGUUUUACAACGUCGAGUUGGCUUAGGGAUACGUUCGUUGGGU